AAUGUUUAUUUCAAAUAAACAGGGAGGUUAUUAAAGAUAAAAUAAGCACAAGUAGCUAAACAAAAGUUAUUUUUAUGAAGAGCAAUAACGUAUUUUAUAUACAGCACUUGAAAGUGUUAUCUUGUGUUAAUUUUCAUCUAAAUUGUCUCCACAAUACAAAAAUACAUAUAAUAAAUCUUCAGCGUAAAAAAUGAUAUUUGCAACAUUAAAAUGUUAUGCCUACAUUUGUCAUAAUUAACAAACGUCAGGGGCACUCUUACAGAGCCCUGUGGCACCCCGUUGCUAAUUGUUAGCAUUGCUCUCCGUUACUGCUGAUGGCUAAAAGCCCUGCACCUCCAAUUAUCACAUUUUGAUCAAAAUUGUGUUGUGUACAAAACAAUUUUCUUGUGAUUCCUAAAAAGACAACAUCAUAGAGAUGUAUUAUAAUUUUUUUAACCUACUGACAGCUAUAUCUAAUGAACGGACGUUUAAUGCAAAAUAUUAAUCUGAAAAAAAUUACCAGAGCUGUCAAAUAAAUGUAGAAGUACAGUGAAGGAAAUGUAAAAAUGAAAAUGUACAGUACAUGCCUCCAAACACACACACAACUUAGAUCACUUUCCACUUCUGACCGUAGGAGCAACAAUCUCUUGAACUUGUGUCGCUCAUUUAUCCACCUUAACAUAUUCCUCCGACAGGCGAGUGUGUGUGUGUGUGUGUGUGUGUGUGUGUGUGUGUGUGUUUAAGGGUUUGAGUUGUUGAGUUCAAGACCGUUCAGCCAUUUCAAACACGCUAAUUGAAGAACAUUCUGUUACAGCCUGUUUUGCGGUUUCUGUCCCUCCCUCCUGCAGAUCUCUAUCUCGCUUGUUUUUUACCCCUGUCUUUGUGUGUGUGUGUGUGUGUGUGUGUGUGUGAGGACCAGGUUAAAGCAAUGAUUGUGCGGAUAUUUUUGGAACGUACAAAAGGCCCAUCGAAGGUUCAAGACCAGUGUACACGUGUGAAGACGAAGACCCAAACCUGCGCACUCACAUGGGGCAACCAGCAACAUGCAGGUGGGGAGUCAGGAAAACCGGCGUCUUAGACCGAGCAGCUUCCUCUUGUAGGAAACUCAAAUACAGUUUCUGCUGCAGAACAACUCACGUUGCACCGAAACCCCUUUUUAAAUACUUGGGACUUAUUGUUUUGUGUCGGAGGCUGAUGCCGCGUUGUGUAACCGGUUUGGUUAUGGGAAAAACAAGACGCUGUAUUUGACGUUGACUCCACACAAUGUUCCCGACAGGUUGACCAGCGGUAUCACACACACACACACACACACACACACACACACACACACACACACACACACACUUCCCACACGUUGCGUAACAUCCAACCUGCCACUUCAGGUGAAAUGGUUGUUACAGGUGAAAUAUUAACUUUAAUAAAUGUAUUAUUUCCCAGUUACACUCCAACUCAACUGCAGAGGAGGUUUUUCCGCCUUUUUAUUCUGUGUUGGAUUUUUUUGAUUUGAUCUAACUUGAUUUAUUAAACUCACUAACUCCUACUUGCUUUGCAUCUACAUCUGGACCCUGUUCCAACCUUCCCCCCAGUUUGGACAGCACAGUGAAAAGUCAGUGGCGUUCAUCCGUCCGUCAAGGCCCAACGCUCCUAGUCAUAGAUAUCAGUCCACUAAAAGGGCCUGAUAUUUUUCCAUCAAGAUCCAUGAAUCGUUCCCUGGUGACAAUGUCAAAAUAAAACAAAAAACAUUCUGUCUCACGUUGUUGAAGAAAGAGUUUAAAAAUGCCUGGUUUCCUUCUUGGCCCGCGUUCCGUCCUUCCAGCAGGUUUUGUUGCGUAAUCCUGCCGAAGCAAACCGACAAAUCCCCGAGCAAAGGACGGACGUGAAGAGGUAAAGAUACAACCGCGUUUCCAGAUUCCUUGUUCCAACAAGUCCCUCCGGGACGCCAGCACGUCUCGAGACAAAUUGUCCGACAAACCGAUCCAGGGACAGUUUGUUUAGCUUCUCGUCCGGUCCCGAGACACCGAGCCGCUCCGACAGGGAACCGACCCCCGGACGCAGCUCCGAUAAACAAACAAAGCAGUUUCCCAUGUUGGAAUCAGAGGCCGUAGAGGAUUUCAGAAAGAGGUUUAUCAUCUUAAUUUACUGUGUUUCUACGUGACUGACAUGAAACACAAUGACCGGCGUCUCGGAAAGAAGCUGAAAGUGAAGCUGAGGGCGUUCAUUCUCCCCAGAGGAUGAACCCCGGGGACCCUGUUGGUCCGUGAAGAUCAACAGCAGGUGGCGCCGACAGUGAAGAAGACGUGAUGGUGACGAGGCGCGACGUCGGCUUCGUGUCCUCGUUACCUCCGUCAAGCACGCCACGUUUCCACCCGUGACUGUUUCCUGGUUUCUCUGUUUGUUGCUUUCUUCGUUAGCAGGAUUACGCAAAAACUACUUUACCCAUUUCCAGGACGGGGUUUGGGAAGAACCUUUAGAACAUGAUAAGAACGAGCUCGUUCAUUGGGUCUGGCUGGCGCACGCGUCUUGUCCCGUCUCCUGGUGUUUGGCGGCGAUGGCGGACGGUCGACGUGUUGGGGUCAGCAGGGUUAGGGUUGGGUGAAGUGAACGUCCAUCCAUCGUCUACCGCUUUGUCCAUUGAAGGGUCGCGGGGGGCUGGAGCCAAUCACAGCCGACAUUGGGCGAGAGGCGGGGUUCAGGUCGC
Molecule: long non-coding RNA, 2677 nt
Organism: Scophthalmus maximus (turbot)
Lineage: Eukaryota; Metazoa; Chordata; Actinopteri; Pleuronectiformes; Scophthalmidae
Exons: 3
Source: RefSeq, a predicted model, not a curated record